UUAAUAUCUACACUCACGGCAUUUACAGACGCAUUGUCCAUAAUCAAACAUUCUCUAUCGUGUGCUAUUCACGUUCCAAAACGCGUUCAAGUAAUUAACCAACGCAAACGUUAAUGGAAACAUAUAGAUAGUCGACUAUCCUAUCCAAGUAUACACGAGUCAAAGAGGUAGACCGGCUUUAAUAAUUCAGAAUACGGAAGCGAAAUCAAUCCUGGACAAAUACGUUCUCGUAGAGUGGACCUUUGGACACUCACUAGUGGAACAGCGCAAUAAAACCGAAAUAACGAUUAUUUGUAGGGGGAUUCGCGUAACAACGUAUACUAAAAAACGAACGGAACUCUACUCGAACUCCUCUCUAGAAAUACGAUUCACUUCCUCUUCCCUUUUUCUUUGCUGACUAUCCGUCAAACGUUCGAAGACAAAUGACUUGGUCGACAAAUGUUUCGUCCAAGAAUGUAACACAAAGAACAUAUAAGAUUUUUGUCGAUGAGAUUUAUAAUUUGAUUGCGGUGGAAGGAAUUCUCGAGUACUAUUUAAUCAUAGUAA
This 546-nucleotide unclassified non-coding RNA is filed under the name Bombus terrestris (buff-tailed bumblebee). RNAcentral describes it as "misc RNA ENSBTSG00005034749.1". Lineage: Eukaryota; Metazoa; Arthropoda; Insecta; Hymenoptera; Apidae. The record is from RNAcentral.